This 1109-nucleotide long non-coding RNA is filed under the name Cricetulus griseus (Chinese hamster). RNAcentral describes it as "lncRNA (ENSCGRG00015035625.1)". The record is from RNAcentral. Lineage: Eukaryota; Metazoa; Chordata; Mammalia; Rodentia; Cricetidae.
AGAGGAAAUGCGGGGUUUAUUGCGUAAAGGAUUUAUAUUUAUUAAUCAAGGAUACAAGGCAAAACGAACACUAUUAAAAUUAAGCAAAAUGUUGACAGUUGAUGUGAACUAUUAUUUCAGCUUGGUGAGAAAAAUCUAGCUAGAGUUAAGGUAAGUUCCAUUAAAUUCAUAAAGAAAAUACAAUAGUUCUGAUACCAUUAAAGUAAUAAUAACCUUUGAAAUAACAAAGUAUAACCAGUAUAAAUGCCUUAGUUUGGAGACAAAAAUACAUACAUUGUGUGCUGGAAGCUGAUGUGUCACAGAACAUGGGUAAUGGUUUGUAGUCUUACUGCUUUACAACCAAAGCCUGAGAUGGUUACCACCACCCAGGAAAGCUAAUGAUAGGCACCAUCUGAUGACGAGCUGGAAGGAAAUUACACGAUAUGACUCUGCCUAUCAGCAGAGACUAAUGAAGCAUUUUUCUUCUUGGUGCAGAUUUAUACAAUCAAGCCUCAGGGAGGCCAAUUUUCUAUCAUACAACAUCAACAGCAAAUUCAUAGGGGUUAAAUUUCCAUCACCACUGUAUCAAAACAGAAAAUUCACAGCACUUUUCACAGUUGCCACACUGAGAAAUGAAAUUCAAGGGAAACAUGGUAUUUCAUUUACAAUUUACUAGCUCUUCCAGUGUUUCAGAGAUACAGGGAUAUAGGAAUAGGACAGAAAGUGGACAUAGAACACAACAAUACACAAAUAUCUUGAUUGAAUCAGUCUACUGCUGUAGUUUUUCAAGCUAAUCAGAUGUCUGUCUCCAGCCAGGCGAUGUUAAAGCUCACAAAUAACCUUAGUGUCCAAAAAUUAGAGAAAAAUGGUUAAUUUACUUGUUACCUAAUUUCAUCAUCAGCAUUUGCUUACACCCUGCUGUAUUCCCACUAAUGAAGACCUCCCCAUUUGCUCCCAGGCUAUGCCCCAAUUAAAAUAUAACAGGUACACUAGAGAUUAAUUCAGCCAGUAACAAUUGCCUCCCACAUCUGCUUUCUGGUUUAAUCCAGAUGAAAUUAAUCCACCCAAAUCUAUUCUACCAAAAGUACUUUUCUACCAAGCAACACUCUUAAGCACUGAUUAAGACUGUU